This is a non-coding RNA of Picea glauca (white spruce), 74 nucleotides long. The record is from Rfam. NCBI's taxonomy places the organism in Eukaryota, Viridiplantae, Streptophyta, Pinopsida, Pinales, Pinaceae.
GCGGACGUAGUCAAGUGGACCAAGGCAGUGGAUUGUGAAUCCACCACGUGUGGGUUUAAUUCCCGUUGUUCGCC